Molecule: non-coding RNA, 1037 nt
Organism: Paramuricea clavata
Lineage: Eukaryota; Metazoa; Cnidaria; Anthozoa; Malacalcyonacea; Plexauridae
Source: the annotation of a GenBank genome assembly
GCCAAUGAUCCAUGUUUCCUCUUACAGUCUUUGCUUUAUAUGAAAAAUUAAAUACUAUGAAUAAUUGCAUUGUUCCUUUUAUUGAUAAAGAGUUUCCCAUUAAAAGAGAAAGUAUUCCCAAUUAAUACUUUGCCUGUUAAAGUGUGCCCACCCCUUGACGAGUAAAAUCGUCUGGCGUUAGACAGAGUAAAAUAAUAAAGUAGGGUGCAUCAGGGCACAUGCAAUGCAACUCAAUGGGUUAACUGGAUCGCCCGGUGUUAGACAGAAUGAUAAAGUUGGGUUAACAAGUAAAAUUGUCUAGCUUUACAGUACAUCUUCCAAGGGGGGCUGGAUUUGGGGAGCAGGCCUACCACUUUUGGGGGGGGGCUGCUUUUUUGAACCUCAAUUAAACUAUUACAGUAAUCCGACGGCCUGUCUAUAUGGUCUCCGGGUACUAGGGAAAUUUUACACCCCCCCCCCCGAGCCCCCCUGGCAAGGCAAAACUAUAUUCAUAUCCUAUUAUAGCAACUGCCAUGCAAGUGUUUGGAUGGAAAGUUUUGAACUUGUCUUGCCUAGUGGGAUGAUCCAGGUAGUAAGGUCACUCCGUCAGGGGGUACAGCAUCUCUAUUACUCAAGAUUAAUUAUAUAAACAUUGCCUGAGGCUAUGUAAAAUUGGUAGGCAUUCCAAUAUAAGAUCAAAUAGUCUCAGGUUUUCCCCAAUCAGAAGAACAAAUUAACAUAGUUGUAAGAAUCUGCAUCUGAUUCAUUGUAAUGACUAAUGAACAAUGUAGUUCAACAGGAAUGGUUGGCAAUCUAGAAAAGCAAAAUAAAAAAUAAACAGAUUAGAUUUAAUAUUAAACAUGUACAGACUUGGCAUGUUUGAGAAAUUAUUGACCUUUGAGAGCCAAAAAAAAGGUUGUCAUUGCACAAUAACCAAUGCACUAGUCUAGGGGAAUCACUAUAAAGUAUAAUUUGACCAAUCCCUCACCAUUGGGUCAACAUAUAAGUUAAAUAAAGUCUAUAUGAGAACUUUAGAGUACUGUGGCUCCAUGUCCAAG